GAUGAACGCUGGCGGCGUGCCUAAUACAUGCAAGUCGAGCGAACAGACGAGGAGCUUGCUCCUCUGACGUUAGCGGCGGACGGGUGAGUAACACGUGGAUAACCUACCUAUAAGACUGGGAUAACUUCGGGAAACCGGAGCUAAUACCGGAUAAUAUAUUGAACCGCAUGGUUCAAUAGUGAAAGACGGUUUUGCUGUCACUUAUAGAUGGAUCCGCGCCGCAUUAGCUAGUUGGUAAGGUAACGGCUUACCAAGGCAACGAUGCGUAGCCGACCUGAGAGGGUGAUCGGCCACACUGGAACUGAGACACGGUCCAGACUCCUACGGGAGGCAGCAGUAGGGAAUCUUCCGCAAUGGGCGAAAGCCUGACGGAGCAACGCCGCGUGAGUGAUGAAGGUCUUCGGAUCGUAAAGCUCUGUUAUUAGGGAAGUACAAAUGUGUAAGUAACUAUGCACGUCUUGACGGUACCUAAUCAGAAAGCCACGGCUAACUACGUG
This 497-nucleotide ribosomal RNA is filed under the name uncultured bacterium. Its description in RNAcentral is "partial 16S ribosomal RNA". It matches the Rfam family "Bacterial small subunit ribosomal RNA", at positions 28 to 507 of the family's 1533-position model. The record is from RNAcentral.